RNAcentral lists this ribosomal RNA (253 nucleotides) under uncultured bacterium. Its description in RNAcentral is "partial 16S ribosomal RNA". It matches the Rfam family "Bacterial small subunit ribosomal RNA", at positions 524 to 776 of the family's 1533-position model. The record is from RNAcentral.
UACAGAGGUCUCAAGCGUUGUUCGGAUUCAUUGGGCGUAAAGGGUGCGUAGGCGGCGCGGUAAGUCGGGUGUGAAAUUUCGAGGCUUAACUUCGAAACUGCAUUCGAUACUGCCGUGCUUGAGGACUGGAGAGGAGACUGGAAUUUACGGUGUAGCGGUGAAAUGCGUAGAUAUCGUAAGGAAGACCAGUGGCGAAGGCGGGUCUCUGGACAGUUCCUGACGCUGAGGCGCGAAAGCCAGGGGAGCGAACGGG